GGUACCGAAAGGGUCGAGACCGCGGUAAACCUCUAGUUGGUGCGGUAGAGAGGGAGGGGUGGAGACCGUGGUAAACUCGACACGUGUACGUUGUUGAGCGGGAGAGUAAGUGGUACGGUACAGUAUUCGUUAUUAGGAAGCGUUGUCAAAUAGUUCUCGAUUGUGUUUGUGGUGGAGCCAAGAUGCGGGAGCAUAAUGGACGAAGGCGGGGGAAACAUGUCGGAUGCGAUCAUACCAGCACUAGAGCACC
This 250-nucleotide ribosomal RNA is filed under the name Hordeum pusillum. Lineage: Eukaryota; Viridiplantae; Streptophyta; Magnoliopsida; Poales; Poaceae. The record is from RNAcentral.